This 253-nucleotide ribosomal RNA is filed under the name uncultured bacterium. RNAcentral's name for it is "partial 16S ribosomal RNA". It matches the Rfam family "Bacterial small subunit ribosomal RNA", at positions 524 to 776 of the family's 1533-position model. The record is from RNAcentral.
UACGUAGGGGGCCAGCGUUGUUCGGAAUUACUGGGCGUAAAGGGUUCGUAGGCGGUGUGGCGAGUCGGGCGUGAAAUCUCUGGGCUCAACCCAGAGUCUGCUUCCGAAACUGCUGUGCUUGAGUGUGGGAGAGGCGCGUGGAAUUCCCAGUGUAGAGGUGAAAUUCGUAGAUAUUGGGAAGAACACCGAUGGCGAAGGCAAUCCCCUGGGCCUGCACUGACGCUCAUGCACGAAAGCGUGGGGAGCAAACAGG